Molecule: ribosomal RNA, 451 nt
Filed under: uncultured bacterium
Lineage: Bacteria
Description: bacterial SSU rRNA
Rfam family: Bacterial small subunit ribosomal RNA
Source: RNAcentral
GGCCAGACUCCUACGGGAGGCAGCAGUGGGGGAUAUUGCACAAUGGGGGAAACCCUGAUGCAGCGACGCCGCGUGGGCGAAGAAGUAUUUCGGUAUGUAAAGCCCUAUCGGCAGGGAAGAAGAAAUGACGGUACCUGAGUAAGAAGCGCCGGCUAAAUACGUGCCAGCAGCCGCGGUAAUACGUAUGGUGCAAGCGUUAUCCGGAUUUACUGGGUGUAAAGGGGGCGCAGACGGCGAUGCAAGCCAGGAGUGAAAGCCCGGGGCCCAACCCCGGGACUGCCCUUGGAACUGCGUGGCUGGAGUGCAGGAGGGGCAGGCGGAAUUCCUGGUGUAGCGGUGAAAUGCGUAGAUAUCAGGAGGAACACCGGUGGCGAAGGCGGCCUGCUGGACUGCAACUGACGUUGAGGCCCGAAAGCGUGGGGAGCAAACAGGAUUAGAUACCCCUGUAGAC